This 491-nucleotide ribosomal RNA is filed under the name uncultured bacterium. RNAcentral describes it as "partial 16S ribosomal RNA". It matches the Rfam family "Bacterial small subunit ribosomal RNA", at positions 28 to 507 of the family's 1533-position model. The record is from RNAcentral.
GAUGAACGCUAGCUACAGGCUUAACACAUGCAAGUCGAGGGGAAACGAUGAGAGAGCUUGCUCUCUUAGUCGUCGACCGGCGCACGGGUGAGUAACGCGUAUCCAACCUGCCUCUGACCAAGGGAUAACCCGUCGAAAGUCGGACUAAUACCUUAUGCAGUCGUCGGAAGUCAUCUGAUGACGACGAAAGAUUUCAUCGGUGAGAGAUGGGGAUGCGUCUGAUUAGCUUGUUGGCGGGGUAACGGCCCACCAAGGCGACGAUCAGUAGGGGUUCUGAGAGGAAGGUCCCCCACAUUGGAACUGAGACACGGUCCAAACUCCUACGGGAGGCAGCAGUGAGGAAUAUUGGUCAAUGGGCGUAAGCCUGAACCAGCCAAGUAGCGUGCAGGAUGACGGCCCUAUGGGUUGUAAACUGCUUUUAGGCGGGGAUAAAGUGAGGGACGUGUCCUUCAUUGCAGGUACCGCAUGAAUAAGGACCGGCUAAUUCCGUG